Tripterygium wilfordii is the source of this 1252-nucleotide long non-coding RNA. RefSeq lists it as uncharacterized. Lineage: Eukaryota; Viridiplantae; Streptophyta; Magnoliopsida; Celastrales; Celastraceae. The transcript has 4 exons. The record is from RefSeq and is a predicted model, not a curated record.
UUUCUGAAGCAAGUUGUAUGAGCUUACAGUGAGAUUUUAUCUGCUUUGACAACUAGUUGCCCAGGAUUUAGUGCUCAGACUUGUAUGUAUUACGCUCCUUUUCCCUACAACAAACUUUUGUGGAACGAGCUGUGGACCUGCGGUUUUGGGGGCGUUUGGUUCAUAAUGAGCAUGGAAAGAGGAAUGAGAAUGAGAACGGAGCACAUGGGGAACUAAUAUUGGCAAUGAUACAAAUUAUGUUUUCUUUUUGUUCAGUACACUGACAUGACAGAUACUGCAGCUGCUGAUCAAGCCACUGUUGAGUUGAUUGUGAACACUCCGCAUCGGUUCUUCCCUGGUUUUGAUUACAAGUACCAUCAUGGAUUGAUCUUCAGGAACUAGAUUUUGUUGAGGCCAAGAAACAAUGUGAAGUGUUUGGAUAAUUUUCAGCAGCUAUCCCCCCCAUAUUGAAGACUAUGUAUAUGCUCCAAAGGUGCAUUGGACUUUAAGUACCACCAGGUUGUUAACUAUGGAAUUCAUGGAUGGUGCAUACGUGAGUGAUGUGAAAGCUUAGCAAUCCCAAUUCCGAAGACUUUGAAUUCAACUGAACUAAGUUGCUAAAUUGAGAUGGAAUUCAUCUAUCUGCUGAAGGGAGCAAGAUAGUUGUGGAGGAGAUAUUGAAGGUACUCAAAGAGGCCAACUGGAAGCCAUCACUACACUGGAAAUCCAUGCCAAGUCAAUUUUCGGAGGAUUCACCAUAUGAUCUCCUCACGGCAGAUGGGAAAUCCACAUUGAAUCCCUCCGAAUGGACGUUCCAUAGAGCGAUUCAGUGGGACUAUGUUGGAGAAAUGGCUUCAAUGUCUCUGUUUUUUUUUUUUUUUUAAUGCAGAAACUGUACACAACAAGUCAACAAUGCGAAGAAUGGAAAUCUGUAACAUCAGAGAAUCAUGGAAAAAGUGGCAGAAUAGUGGAUCUUAUUUAUAUUUCAAUGCAAUUCCUCCUUGUAAAAGUAAUCGUGAAGUUGAAUUUGCUUUAGACAUGUAGUGGUGGAGUUUUCUCCUGUAUAGAACAGAACCCUUUUUUUUUUUUGUGUGGCUAUGUUUAAUUUUUAAUUACUGCUCCAUGUCUGCGUCCAUGCCCAUAAUAAUCUAUGUACAGCACUUGCUUUUGAAAACUAGGUCUUACACAAUCUCAAUAAUAAAUUUUUUUUUGGGAAUUUACAGGGAGAAGUUAAAAAACAAGGCACCAUUAAGUUUAAAUUGAAAAUAUUCAA